RNAcentral lists this ribosomal RNA (254 nucleotides) under uncultured bacterium. Its description in RNAcentral is "partial 16S ribosomal RNA". It matches the Rfam family "Bacterial small subunit ribosomal RNA", at positions 524 to 776 of the family's 1533-position model. The record is from RNAcentral.
GACGUAGGGCGCGAGCGUUUGUCCGGAUUUAUUGGGCGUAAAGAGCGUGUAGGCGGCCACACAGGUCAGCUGUGAAAACUCGAGGCUCAACCUCGAGACGUCGGUUGAAACCGUAUGGCUAGAGUCCGGAAGAGGAGAGUGGAAUUCCCGGUGUAGCGGUGAAAUGCGCAGAUAUCGGGAGGAACACCAAUGGCGAAGGCAGCUUGCUGGGACGGUACUGACGCUGAGGCGCGAAAGCGUGGGGAGCAAACAGG